AGUGAACGCUGGCGGUAGGCCUAACACAUGCAAGUCGAACGGCAGCACAGUAAGAGCUUGCUCUUACGGGUGGCGAGUGGCGGACGGGUGAGGAAUACAUCGGAAUCUACUUUUUCGUGGGGGAUAACGUAGGGAAACUUACGCUAAUACCGCAUACGACCUACGGGUGAAAGCAGGGGAUCUUCGGACCUUGCGCGAUUGAAUGAGCCGAUGUGGGAUUAGCUAGUUGGCGGGUUAAAGGCCCACCAAGGCGCCGAUCCGUAGCUGGUCUGAGAGGAGGAUCGGCCACACUGGAACUGGGACACGGUCCAGACUCCUAAGGGAGGCAGCAGUGGGGAAUAUUGGACAAUGGGCGCAAGCCUGAUCCAGCCAUACCGCGUGGGUGAAGAAGGCCUUCGGGUUGUAAAGACCUUUUGUUGGGAAAGAAAAGCGGCAGGUUAAUACCCCGCUGUUCUGACGGUACCCAAAGAAUAAGCACCGGCUAACUUCGUG
This 492-nucleotide ribosomal RNA is filed under the name uncultured bacterium. RNAcentral describes it as "partial 16S ribosomal RNA". It matches the Rfam family "Bacterial small subunit ribosomal RNA", at positions 29 to 507 of the family's 1533-position model. The record is from RNAcentral.